RNAcentral lists this long non-coding RNA (392 nucleotides) under Salvia miltiorrhiza (redroot sage). RNAcentral describes it as "long non-coding RNA (SMIL_LNC004431)". Lineage: Eukaryota; Viridiplantae; Streptophyta; Magnoliopsida; Lamiales; Lamiaceae. The record is from RNAcentral.
UUUUCCUUCUAAAUAAGUUUUGCCUAUUAUUUUGCUUGUUAUAUAGAAUAUCUUCCUCGAGUAGUUCACUUGUUUAUCUUGAAGUUCUAUUAGUCUAAUUUAUGAUGUAUUAUUUAAGAGAAGAAGAAUAUUAAAUAUGAAAAUGAACGAUAUUAUAUAAAAAAAAAAUGAGGAAAGGAAAUUAAAAUCAAAGAAAAAAAAAGCAGAAAAGGUGCGCCAAAAAAGGAAGAAGAAUAAAAUAUAAAUUAAGUUGUUAAAAAAAAUGUUGGUUAAAAUCCAAAAUUCAGUUAUACUCGAUCUACUAGCUUUAUUUUUUAUUAAUUGUACUCUGGAACUGUAGUUUUUUUCUUUGUCAUUGUCAAUAUUCUAGCGGUUGAUUAUAAGUAUUUGCU